UUUUAUUUUUAGGGUUUUCAAUAGUUUUUGUAUAUAUUUGCUUGUUUUAACAACGCCCUACUCUUUCUCUGAUUCGAUCCACAGCGACAAGAAGAUGAGAGCCAAGUGGAAGAAGAAGCGCAUGAGGAGGCUUAAGAGGAAGAGACGAAAGAUGAGACAGCGAUCUAAGUAGACAUCAUCAUCAGACUCUGUUUCUUGCUUCUCUCAAACAUUAGUCCCUCUUUUUGUUUCCCAUUUAAGUUUUUAAGAUUUUAAUGAAAGAUCAUUUCAGACUUUCCUGCUUCUUCAACAUCUUACUCCCACUCCUAUAUAUAUGUCACUAUUAAGCUUUUAGGCUUCUUUCUCUUCA
Long non-coding RNA from Camelina sativa (false flax), 349 nucleotides. RefSeq lists it as uncharacterized. The record is from RefSeq and is a predicted model, not a curated record. NCBI's taxonomy places the organism in Eukaryota, Viridiplantae, Streptophyta, Magnoliopsida, Brassicales, Brassicaceae.